GGGGCUAUAGCUCAGUUGGUAGAGCGCUUCGCUGGCAGUGAAGAAGUCAGGAGUUCGAGUCUCCUUAGCUCCACCA
RNAcentral lists this transfer RNA (76 nucleotides) under Candidatus Saccharimonadota bacterium. RNAcentral's name for it is "tRNA-Ala". It matches the Rfam family "tRNA". Rfam says of the family: Transfer RNA (tRNA) molecules are approximately 80 nucleotides in length. Their secondary structure includes four short double-helical elements and three loops (D, anti-codon, and T loops). Lineage: Bacteria; Candidatus Saccharimonadota. The record is from RNAcentral.